This 465-nucleotide ribosomal RNA is filed under the name uncultured bacterium. Its description in RNAcentral is "partial 16S ribosomal RNA". It matches the Rfam family "Bacterial small subunit ribosomal RNA", at positions 28 to 507 of the family's 1533-position model. The record is from RNAcentral.
GACGAACGCUGGCGGCGUGCUUAACACAUGCAAGUCGAACGGAAAGGCCCCUUUGGGGGUACUCGAGUGGCGAACGGGUGAGUAACACGUGAGUAACCUGCCCUUGACUUCGGGAUAACUUCAGGAAACUGGGGCUAAUACCGGAUAGGAAUCCUUGCUGCAUGGUGGGGGUUGGAAAGCUUCGGCGGUUUUGGAUGGACUCGCGGCUUAUCAGCUUGUUGGUGGGGUAGUGGCUUACCAAGGCUUUGACGGGUAGCCGGCCUGAGAGGGCGACCGGCCACAUUGGGACUGAGAUACGGCCCAGACUCCUACGGGAGGCAGCAGUGGGGAAUAUUGCACAAUGGGCGGGAGCCUGAUGCAGCAACGCCGCGUGCGGGAUGACGGCCUUCGGGUUGUAAACCGCUUUCAGCAGGGGCGGAGCUUGUGGUGACGGUACCUGCAGAAGAAGCACCGGCUAACUACGUG